GUGGGGAAUAUUGGGCAAUGGGCGCAAGCCUGACCCAGCAACGCCGCGUGAAGGAAGAAGGCUUUCGGGUUGUAAACUUCUUUUACCAGGGACGAAACAAAUGACGGUACCUGGUGAAUAAGCCACGGCUAACUACGUGCAAGCAGCCGCGGUAAUACGUAGGUGGCGAGCGUUAUCCGGAUUUAUUGGGUGUAAAGGGCGUGUAGGCGGGACAGCAAGUCAGAUGUGAAAACCAGAGGCUCAACCUCUGGCCUGCAUUUGAAACUGUUGUUCUUGAGUGUCGGAGAGGUAAUCGGAAUUCCGUGUGUAGCGGUGAAAUGCGUAGAUAUACGGAGGAACACCAGUGGCGAAGGCGGAUUACUGGACGAUAACUGACGCUGAGGCGCGAAAGCGUGGGGAGCAAACAGGAUUAGAAACCCGGGUAGUCC
This 428-nucleotide ribosomal RNA is filed under the name uncultured bacterium. Its description in RNAcentral is "partial 16S ribosomal RNA". It matches the Rfam family "Bacterial small subunit ribosomal RNA", at positions 354 to 796 of the family's 1533-position model. The record is from RNAcentral.